Molecule: long non-coding RNA, 1192 nt
Organism: Helianthus annuus (common sunflower)
Lineage: Eukaryota; Viridiplantae; Streptophyta; Magnoliopsida; Asterales; Asteraceae
Exons: 4
Source: RefSeq, a predicted model, not a curated record
UGGUGAACACUCUUCAAAUAGACCCUUCUGAACCUACUUCCGGCGCCUGCUUUCCGAUUGGAUCAAUGGGGGUGUAUUCUUUUUGACGCUGAUGGCCGUGGUUCAUAGGAGCUUCACUCCGGUGGUGACUGACGAACGACGGCGGUGCUAAAUCCGCUGGAAUCAACCACGGCAGCCAUGAUCUUCGAGCUUUCUCACCCCGGUAAGCUCCUAAAACCCAUCUCUUUCAUCUCUUUUUUGAUUUAGGUAUUUAGGUUAAAGUUUUCUUUGAGUUUACAAAUUCCAUUGUUGUUCAAUCUUUCCCAAGCUUAAAUUCCAGGUUUACAAAUCACGUUUCCAGGUUUCCUUUUUACGAUUUCUCUGAUUUGUUUGCCAAAUUUCGAAACCCAUCACAAACCAGAUUGUUCCUUAGAUGCUUUGCCAGCCAAAUCACAAACUGUAACAGCCCGUCGGAGAUUCGAAUAAACCCGCAUCGCCGCAUCAUAAACCCGCAUCGCCGUUCUUCGACUUCACAGGCCAAAUUGCGUUUACGGCUGGCGUUUCUAAUUUGUCAGUUCUGCUUUUACUUUGUUGUCUCUUUCGUCAGGUGCAAUUGUAUACGUUUGUGGGUUGUCGCCGUUUCGUAGCUUCUUCCUGGGGUGCAUUUCGUCCGACAUUGUUUUCUCUCUUAGGUUUGUGGGUAACUCUUUUUUCAUGAAGAAAAGUGUUGUCUUCUGUGUUUUCCAAGGUGUAUAUAUGGCAUUUUGAAACCUAGAUCUGCCAUGAAAGAAACAACUUUAGCUUUUCUUAGAUUAACGAUUCUGUGUUGCACAAACUGGUGUACGCCGCUAACAGUGUGACUGGUAAAUUCGUGCAGACUAGGAUUACAAAGAUCCUAAAGGUGUUGACAGGCAACAUCACACGAUGUGGUCUCUGAUUGUUGAGGCUCGACUUUGGUCCUGGCAUCAUGAUCCUUAAAAAAACCAAAAAGAUAGCCGCACCAGCCUGUUCAACUCUCCAAGGCAAGUAAUUUAACUUUGUAAUAGACCAGGCUCGGAACAUGCUUCAAAACAGGAAAUCAGCUUGGUCAACCCACUACAACUUUCAGCACUUUAUAUUUAGUACAUCAACUAUCCCAAUGUAACACAGAUAACUGAUAACUUCCUGGUAACAUAAAACCUUACCCGCCGCGAAGCGCGGGCGUUAUCUACUA